GCUGGGCAUGAUGGCACAUGCCUGUAGUCCCAGCUACUUGGGAGGCUGAGGCAGGAGGAUCACUUGAGCUCAGGAGUUUGAGGCUUCAGUGAGCUAGGAUCGUGCCACUGCACUCCACCCUGGGUGACAGAGUGAGACCUUGUCUCUA
Molecule: non-coding RNA, 148 nt
Filed under: Pan paniscus (pygmy chimpanzee)
Lineage: Eukaryota; Metazoa; Chordata; Mammalia; Primates; Hominidae
Also listed under: 1 other name
Source: Rfam by way of RNAcentral